UACGGAGGGGGCUAGCGUUGUUCGGAAUUACUGGGCGUAAAGCGCGCGUAGGCGGCUUUGUAAGUCAGAGGUGAAAGCCUGGAGCUCAACUCCAGAACUGCCUUUGAGACUGCAUCGCUAGAAUCAUGGAGAGGUUAGUGGAAUUCCGAGUGUAGAGGUGAAAUUCGUAGAUAUUACGGAAGAACACCAGUGGCGAAGGCGACUAACUGGACAUGUAUUGACGCUGAGGUGCGAAAGCGUGGGGAGCAACAGGAUUAA
This 258-nucleotide ribosomal RNA is filed under the name uncultured bacterium. Its description in RNAcentral is "partial 16S ribosomal RNA". It matches the Rfam family "Bacterial small subunit ribosomal RNA", at positions 524 to 781 of the family's 1533-position model. The record is from RNAcentral.